CAAAUGCUCCCCACGCUUGUAAUACUGCCUAAAUUCUUGAUGAAAAUGAUAUUUUUUGUUAGCGUUCUUUCAACACUGCGUCAACGUUAUUUGGAAACCACGAAUAAUUACAUGCAUGGCUGUCUUUCAUUCCAACCGUUUCUCUUUAAAGCUAGAAUCAUAGAUAUCUUAUAUAAGAUAUCUAUGGCUAGAAUGCUUAUCAGUUAAUGUCUAUUUAUUAUGGCUGCAGAUUAUACGAGUUAUUUUGCUGUUGAUAUGUUUGUUAAAGUGCGGGGGUUCUUCGAUUCUGAGUUUAAAGAUUCGGGUUUUUUUCGAUUCUGGGUUUAAAAGAUUCUCGGGGGGUUUUCGAUUCUGGGUUUAAAAGAUUCGGGGGUUUUUCGAUUCUGAGUUUAAAGAUUCGGGCGUUUUUCGACUCUGGGUUUAAAAGAUUCGGGGGGUUUUCGAUUCUGAGUUUAAAGAUUCGGGGGUUUUUCGAUUUUGGGUUUAAAAGAUUCGGGGGUUCUUCGAUUCUGGGUUUAAAAGAUUCGGGGGUUCUUCGAUUCUGGGUUUAAAAGAUUCGGGGGGUUUUCGAUUCUGGGUUUAAAGAUUCGGGGGUUUUUCGAUUUUGGGUUUAAAAGAUUCCGGGGUUCUUCGAUUCUGAGUUUAAAGAUUCGGGGGGUUUUCGAUUCUGAGUUUAAAGAUUCGGGGGUUUUCGAUUCUGGGUUUAAAAGAUUCGGGGGUUUUUCGACUCUGGGUUUAAAAGAUUCGGGGGUUAUUCGAUUCUGAGUUUAAAGAUUCGGGGGUUUUCGAUUCUGAGUUUAAAGAUUCGGGGGUUUUCGAUUCUGGGUUUAAAAGAUUCGGGGGUUCUUCGAUUCUGGGUUUAAAAGAUUCGGGGGGUUUUCGAUUCUGGGUUUAAAGAUUCCGGGGGUUCUUCGAUUCUGAGUUUAAAGAUUCGGGAGUUCUUCGAUUCUGAGUUUAAAGAUUCGGGGGUUUUUCGAUUUUGGGUUUAAAAGAUUCCGGCGUUCUUCGAUUCUGAGUUUAAAGAUUCGGGGUUUUUUCGAUUCUUAGUUUAAAGAUUCGGGGGUUUUCGAUUCUGGGUUUAAAAGAUUCGGGGGUUUUUCGACUCUGGGUUUAAAAGAUUCGGGGGUUAUUCGAUUCUGAGUUUAAAGAUUCGGGGGUUUUUCGAUUUUGGGUUUAAAAGAGUCGGGGGUUCUUCGACUCUGGGUUUAAAAGAUUCGGGGGUUCUUCGAUUCUGAGUUUAAAGAUUCGGGGGUUUUCGAUUCUGAGUUUAAAGAUUCGGGGGUUUUCGAUUCUGGGUUUAAAAGAUUCGGGGGUUCUUCGAUUCUGGGUUUAAAAGAUUCGGGGGGUUUUCGAUUCUGGGUUUAAAGAUUCCGGGGGUUCUUCGAUUCUGAGUUUAAAGAUUCGGGAGUUCUUCGAUUCUGAGUUUAAAGAUUCGGGGGUUUUUCGAUUUUGGGUUUAAAAGAUUCCGGCGUUCUUCGAUUCUGAGUUUAAAGAUUCGGGGUUUUUUCGAUUCUUAGUUUAAAGAUUCGGGGGUUUUCGAUUCUGGGUUUAAAAGAUUCGGGGGUUUUUCGACUCUGGGUUUAAAAGAUUCGGGGGUUAUUCGAUUCUGAGUUUAAAGAUUCGGGGGUUUUUCGAUUUUGGGUUUAAAAGAGUCGGGGGUUCUUCGACUCUGGGUUUAAAAGAUUCGGGGGUUCUUCGAUUCUGAGUUUAAAGAUUCGGGGGUUUUCGAUUCUGAGUUUAAAGAUUCGGGGGUUUUCGAUUCUGGGUUUAAAAGAUUCGGGGGUUCUUCGAUUUUGGGUUUAAAAGAUUCGGGGGUUCUUCGAUUCUGAGUUUAAAGAUUCGGGGGUUUUUCGAUUCUGAGUUUAAAGAUUCGGGGGUUUUCUAUUCUGGGUUUAAAAGAUUCGGGGGUUUUUCGACUCUGGGUUUAAAAGAUUCGGGGGUUAUUCGAUUCUGAGUUUAAAGAUUCGGGGCUUUUUCGAUUUUGGGUUUAAAAGAUUCGGGGGUUUUUCGACUCUGGGUUUAAAAGAUUGGGGGGUUCUUCGAUUCUGAGUUUAAAGAUUUGGGGGUUUUUCGAUUCUGAGUUUAAAGAUUCGGGGGUUUUCGAUUCUGGGUUUAAAAGAUUCGGGGGUAUUUCGAUUCUGAGUUUAAAUAUUCGGGGGGUUUUCGAUUUUGGGUUUAAAGAAUCGCGGGUUCUUCGAUUCUGAGUUUAAAGAUUCGGGGGUUUUUCGAUUCUGAGUUUAAAAGAUUCGGAGGUUUUUCGAUUCUGG
Non-coding RNA from Paramuricea clavata, 2267 nucleotides. The record is from the annotation of a GenBank genome assembly. NCBI's taxonomy places the organism in Eukaryota, Metazoa, Cnidaria, Anthozoa, Malacalcyonacea, Plexauridae.